RNAcentral lists this small nucleolar RNA (136 nucleotides) under Catagonus wagneri (Chacoan peccary). Its description in RNAcentral is "Small nucleolar RNA SNORA70 (ENSCWAG00000021065.1)". It matches the Rfam family "Small nucleolar RNA SNORA70". Rfam says of the family: snoRNA U70 seems to be exclusive to mammals and is a member of the H/ACA class of snoRNA which contain H (ANANNA) and ACA box motifs. H/ACA box snoRNAs are involved in the conversion of uridines to pseudouridines (5-ribosyluracil) a constituent of structural RNAs (transfer, ribosomal, small nuclear, and small nucleolar). Lineage: Eukaryota; Metazoa; Chordata; Mammalia; Artiodactyla; Tayassuidae. The record is from Rfam by way of RNAcentral.
CUGCUGCCAAUUAAGCCAACUGUGCUCUUUUUCCCCGUGGGAGCCCAGUGUGCAGUGGCUGCCAACAGCAGCCUCCUCGGCAGUAUAUGCAGCCUGUUGCUUGUGUGGGUUGCCCUAAGGGAACUUGGAGACAGGC